RNAcentral lists this ribosomal RNA (500 nucleotides) under uncultured bacterium. RNAcentral's name for it is "partial 16S ribosomal RNA". It matches the Rfam family "Bacterial small subunit ribosomal RNA", at positions 30 to 523 of the family's 1533-position model. The record is from RNAcentral.
AUUGAACGCUGGCGGAAUGCUUUACACAUGCAAGUCGAACGGCAGCACGGGGGCAACCCUGGUGGCGAGUGGCGAACGGGUGAGUAAUACAUCGGAACGUGCCCAGUCGUGGGGGAUAGCGUAGCGAAAGUUACGCUAAUACCGCAUACGAUCUACGGAUGAAAGCGGGGGACCGUAAGGCCUCGCGCGAUUGGAGCGGCCGAUAUCAGAUUAGGUAGUUGGUGGGGUAAAGGCCCACCAAGCCAACGAUCUGUAGCUGGUCUGAGAGGACGACCAGCCACACUGGAACUGAGACACGGUCCAGACUCCUACGGGAGGCAGCAGUGGGGAAUUUUGGACAAUGGGCGAAAGCCUGAUCCAGCCAUUCCGCGUGCAGGAUGAAGGCCCUCGGGUUGUAAACUGCUUUUGUACAGAACGAAAAGGUUUCUACUAAUACUAGGAGCUCAUGACGGUACUGUAAGAAUAAGCACCGGCUAACUACGUGCCAGCCGCCGCGGUAA